UUUUAACUCUUCUGAUGGCAGCUCUUCAUGGUCUGAAUUAUUCAGCGCUCAGCAUUAUCUGACGCCCUACAGAUUUGAAUCCUGCUGCGUUGGACUCAUGGUCAGUGGUGUGCAUUGUGAAUCACAGAAGAUCAUAUGAGCAAACUGUACAUACCGAUACAGACGACAUCCAUGAAGCCGUACAUCCCGUAACAGAUCUGGA
Molecule: long non-coding RNA, 202 nt
Organism: Sinocyclocheilus grahami
Lineage: Eukaryota; Metazoa; Chordata; Actinopteri; Cypriniformes; Cyprinidae
Exons: 3
Source: RefSeq, a predicted model, not a curated record